CACAUGCAAGUCGAACGGUCUGACAACCGGCCUCGGUUGGUUGCCAGAUAGUGGCGGACGGGUGAGUAACGCGUGGAUAACCUGCCCAUCAGACAGGGAUAACACCGGGAAACUGGUGCUAAUACCGGAUACGUACGUAAGGGGGCAUCCCUUUACGUAGAAAGGCGAUGCAAAUCGCUACUGAUGGAUGGGUCCGCGUCCCAUUAGCUAGUUGGCAGGGUAAUGGCCUACCAAGGCGACGAUGGGUAGCCGGCCUGAGAGGGUGGCCGGCCCCACUGGGACUGAGAUACGGCCCAGACUCUUACGGGAGGCAGCAGUGGGGAAUCUUCCGCAAUGGGGGAAAGCCUGACGGAGCAAC
RNAcentral lists this ribosomal RNA (358 nucleotides) under uncultured bacterium. RNAcentral describes it as "bacterial SSU rRNA". It matches the Rfam family "Bacterial small subunit ribosomal RNA", at positions 52 to 395 of the family's 1533-position model. The record is from RNAcentral.